RNAcentral lists this unclassified non-coding RNA (370 nucleotides) under Hevea brasiliensis (rubber tree). Lineage: Eukaryota; Viridiplantae; Streptophyta; Magnoliopsida; Malpighiales; Euphorbiaceae. The record is from RNAcentral.
CCCUUCGCGGCCCGCAUAAUGGUCGUGCACAACGGACAACUGGUCGCCGACGGCAAGCCAGCCGAGGUGAUCGCCUCGCCGAUCGUGCAGGAAGCCUAUCUCGGCAUCGCNCUAUCUCGGCAUCGCGCCCGGAAAGACUGCCGCAUGAGCCAGAACACCGCACUCAGCCUCACCGGCGUUCACACCCACAUCGCUCAGUAUCACAUCCUUCACGGCGUCGAUUUCACUGUGCCGGAAGGCCAGACCACCAUGCUGCUCGNGCGGGCAAGACAACACCGCUCCGCACCAUCAGGGGCCUGUCCCCCCCCUCCGCUGGCCAGAUCGUUCUGGCGGGGCAGAACAUCGAAAAGAAAUCCACGCCGGACAUCGC